Molecule: ribosomal RNA, 253 nt
Filed under: uncultured bacterium
Lineage: Bacteria
Description: partial 16S ribosomal RNA
Rfam family: Bacterial small subunit ribosomal RNA
Source: RNAcentral
AACGUAGGUGACAAACGUUAUCCGGAGUUACUGGGCGUAAAGGGCGUGCAGGUGGUCUGUUAAGUCUGGCGUGAAAGCUCUCGGCUAAACCGGGAGAGGUCGUUGGAUACUGGAUGACUAGAGGACGGUAGAGGCGUGUGGAAUUCCGGGUGUAGUGGUGAAAUGCGUAGAGAUCCGGAGGAACACCAGUGGCGAAGGCGACACGCUGGGCCGUACCUGACGCUAAAGCGCGACAGCAUGGGGAGCAAACGGG